RNAcentral lists this transfer RNA (89 nucleotides) under Phycisphaerae bacterium RAS2. Its description in RNAcentral is "tRNA-Ser". It matches the Rfam family "tRNA". Rfam says of the family: Transfer RNA (tRNA) molecules are approximately 80 nucleotides in length. Their secondary structure includes four short double-helical elements and three loops (D, anti-codon, and T loops). Lineage: Bacteria; Pseudomonadati; Planctomycetota; Phycisphaerae. The record is from RNAcentral.
UGGAGAGGUGUCCGAGUGGCUGAAGGAGCCGCAUUCGAAAUGCGGUCAGCGGGCAACUGCUGCGGGGGUUCGAAUCCCUCCCUCUCCGA